AGGACGAACGCUGGCGGCAUGCCUAACACAUGCAAGUCGAACGGGGGUAGCAAUACCCUAGUGGCGAACGGGUGAGUAACACAUAAGCAAUCUGCCCUUCACAGGGGGAUAACAGCGGGAAACUGCUGCUAAUACCGCAUAAGACCACGGUACCGCAUGGUACAGGGGUAAAAACGAAUCAGUGGUGAAGGAUGAGCUUAUGUCCCAUUAGCUAGUUGGUGAGAUAACAGCCCACCAAGGCGACGAUGGGUAGCCGACCUGAGAGGGUGAUCGGCCACACUGGAACUGAGACACGGUCCAGACUCCUACGGGAGGCAGCAGUGGGGAAUAUUGGGCAAUGGAGGAAACUUCCUUACCCAGCAAUGCCGCGUGAGUGAAGAAGGUCUUCGGAUUGUAAAGCUCUUUGAUUGGGGACGAAGAAAGUGACGGUACCCAAAGAACAAGCCCCGGCUAACUACGUGCCAGCAGCAGC
Molecule: ribosomal RNA, 472 nt
Filed under: uncultured bacterium
Lineage: Bacteria
Description: bacterial SSU rRNA
Rfam family: Bacterial small subunit ribosomal RNA
Source: RNAcentral